UGGGGAAUAUUGGAUAAUGGGGGGAACCCUGAUCCAGCCAUGCCGCGUGUGUGAAGAAGGCCUUAUGGUUGUAAAGCACUUUAAGCGAGGAGGAGGGUACUGGUAUUAAUACUACCAGCUACUGGACGUUACUCGCAGAAUAAGCACCGGCUAACUCUGUGCCAGCAGCCGCGGUAAUACAGAGGGUGCGAGCGUUAAUCGGAUUUACUGGGCGUAAAGCGUGCGUAGGCGGCUAAUUGAGUCGGAUGUGAAAUCCCCGAGCUUAACUUGGGAAUUGCAUUCGAUACUGGUUAGCUAGCGUGUGGGAGAAGAUGGUAGAAUUCCAGGUGUAGCGGUGAAAUGAGUAGAGAUCUGGAGGAAUACCGAUGGCGAAGGCAGCCAUCUAGCCUAACACUGACGCUGAGGUACGAAAGCAUGGGGAGCAAACAGG
RNAcentral lists this ribosomal RNA (430 nucleotides) under Pseudomonadota bacterium. RNAcentral describes it as "Proteobacteria bacterium partial 16S ribosomal RNA". It matches the Rfam family "Bacterial small subunit ribosomal RNA", at positions 355 to 776 of the family's 1533-position model. Lineage: Bacteria; Pseudomonadati; Pseudomonadota. The record is from RNAcentral.